This 317-nucleotide long non-coding RNA is filed under the name Gossypium barbadense (sea-island cotton). Its description in RNAcentral is "long non-coding RNA (GBAR_LNC009447)". The record is from RNAcentral. Lineage: Eukaryota; Viridiplantae; Streptophyta; Magnoliopsida; Malvales; Malvaceae.
AUAAUCCGCAGCAAAGCUGCUUAUAUCAGAAUAUGUGGCACAGCCACCAGAACGGGUUCUUCCUCCAUAACAUAACCCAGAUCCCAUGCAACAGAUAUACAUGUCAUGGCAUACAACAAACAGAAUCAGAAUAUCAUGCAUUUCAGUCAAAAUUAACCCUAGGGGUAUAACAGUCAUUUUGCACCUAGGGGUAAAAUGGUAAUUUUCAUACUUAGGGGUAUUUUAGUAAAAUUCACUAUUUUAGGGUUUACAUACAUCCUACAACCGUUAACGCAUCAACAGAAACACUUACCGAGCGUCUUUACUGAAUUGGGCCC